GACGAACGCUGGCGGCGUGCCUAAUACAUGCAAGUAGAACGCUGAAGGAGGAGCUUGCUUCUCUGGAUGAGUUGCGAACGGGUGAGUAACGCGUAGGUAACCUGCCUGGUAGCGGGGGAUAACUAUUGGAAACGAUAGCUAAUACCGCAUAAUAGUAGAUGUUGCAUGACAUUUGCUUAAAAGGUGCAAUUGCAUCACUACCAGAUGGACCUGCGUUGUAUUAGCUAGUUGGUGGGGUAACGGCUCACCAAGGCGACGAGACAUAGCCGACCUGAGAGGGGGAUCGGCCACACUGGGACCGGGACACGGCCCAGAAUCCUAAGGGAGGCAGCAGGAGGGAAUCUUCGGCAAUGGACGGAAGUCUGACCGAGCAACGCCGGGGGAGGGAAGAAGGUUUUCGGAUCGGAAAGCUCUGUUGUAAGAGAAGAACGAGUGUGAGAGUGGAAAGUUCACAUUGUGACGGUACCUUAUCAGAAAGCGACGGCUAACUACGUG
Molecule: ribosomal RNA, 495 nt
Filed under: uncultured bacterium
Lineage: Bacteria
Description: partial 16S ribosomal RNA
Rfam family: Bacterial small subunit ribosomal RNA
Source: RNAcentral